CCUACGGGUGGCAGCAGUGGGGAAUAUUGGUCAAUGGGCGGAACUCUGAUCCAGCGACGCCGCGUGAGUGAAGAAGUAUUUCGGUAUGUAAAGCUCUAUCAGCAGGGAAGAAAAUGACGGUACCUGACUAAGAAGCCCUGGCUAACUACGUGCCAGCAGCGGCGGUAACACGUAGGGGGCAAGCGUUAUCCGGAUUUACUGGGUGUAAAGGGAGCGUAGAGGGUGCAGCAAGUCUGAUGUGAAAGGUCGGGGCCCAACCCCGGGAGUGCAUUUGAAACUGGCGAACUGGAGUACAGGAGAGGUAAGCGGAAUUCCUGGUGUAGCGGUGAAAUGCGUAGAUAUUAGGAAGAACACCGAUUGCGAAGGCAGCUUACUGGACUGUAACUGACGCUGAGGCUCGAAAGCGUGGGUAGCAAACAGGAUUAGAUACCCCUGUAGUC
This 440-nucleotide ribosomal RNA is filed under the name uncultured bacterium. RNAcentral describes it as "partial 16S ribosomal RNA". It matches the Rfam family "Bacterial small subunit ribosomal RNA", at positions 338 to 795 of the family's 1533-position model. The record is from RNAcentral.